This 460-nucleotide ribosomal RNA is filed under the name uncultured bacterium. RNAcentral describes it as "partial 16S ribosomal RNA". It matches the Rfam family "Bacterial small subunit ribosomal RNA", at positions 338 to 795 of the family's 1533-position model. The record is from RNAcentral.
CCUACGGGUGGCAGCAGUGAGGAAUAUUGGUCAAUGGACGAGAGUCUGAACCAGCCAAGUAGCGUGAAGGAUGACUGCCCUAUGGGUUGUAAACUUCUUUUAUAUGGGAAUAAAAUGUUCCACGUGUGGGAUUUUGUAUGUACCAUAUGAAUAAGGAUCGGCUAACUCCGUGCCAGCAGCCGCGGUAAUACGGAGGAUCCGAGCGUUAUCCGGAUUUAUUGGGUUUACAGGGAGCGUAGGUGGAUUGUUAAGGCAGUUGUGAAAGUGUGCGGCUCAAACGUAAAAUUGCAGUUGAAACUGGCAGUGUUGAGUACAGUAGAGGUGGGCGGAAUUCGUGGUGUAGCGGUGAAAUGCUUAGAUAUCACGAAGAACUCCGAUUGCGAAGGCAGCUCACUGGACUGCAACUGACGCUGAGGCGCGAAAGCGUGGGGAGCAAACAGGAUUAGAUACCCCUGUAGUC